Molecule: small nuclear RNA, 104 nt
Organism: Cervus hanglu yarkandensis (Yarkand deer)
Lineage: Eukaryota; Metazoa; Chordata; Mammalia; Artiodactyla; Cervidae
Source: Ensembl
GUGCUUGCUUCAGCAGCCUGUAUACUAAAAUUGAAAUAAUACAGAGAUUAUCAUGGCCCCUGCUCAAGGAUGACAUGCAAAUUCAUGAAGCGUUGGGUAUUUUU